Molecule: non-coding RNA, 115 nt
Organism: Triticum aestivum (bread wheat)
Lineage: Eukaryota; Viridiplantae; Streptophyta; Magnoliopsida; Poales; Poaceae
Source: Rfam
GUAGUACUCCCUCCGUUCCAAAUUACUCAUCGAAGAAAUGGAUGUCUCUAGAACUAAAAUACAUCUAGAUACAUCCAUACCUGCGACAAGUAAUUCGGAACGGAGGGAGUAGUAU